Molecule: long non-coding RNA, 1848 nt
Filed under: Accipiter nisus (Eurasian sparrowhawk)
Lineage: Eukaryota; Metazoa; Chordata; Aves; Accipitriformes; Accipitridae
Description: lncRNA (ENSANIG00000004136.1)
Source: RNAcentral
GGAGAUGAACACGGUCAGUACUCCACGAGGCCGUCCUCCAGAUCCUCGUCUCUCCAUUUACUCCUCCUGCAAGCUGGGAACUGGAGACACGCACGGCACUCGCCUAAGCAGCCCAGAAGCGAAGCCCGCGUAACUCAAGCCUGCAGCGGCAGGCGGGAACCACCAGGGAUCAGGAGAUCACCGAAGAUCGACUCCGGCCGGCCGGGGCGCCUCAGAGACCGAGCUCCCGCACCGGCCGCCAGCCUGCAAGUGACUGCCGCAAGCCAGGGCCACCGAUGCCGCCACUGGGCUGACGGAGCGCUCGCCGAUGCGGAGCGAGGGCUGCACGCACUAACCCCUUACCAACGUAAGGCUCAACGCCACGGUCCCAGGGAAGACCGGCCCGGGGAGAAGAACCGCUCCCCGCAAACCAAGACACGGGCGGAGGCGCGGAACCGAAGGACCGCCGCCACACGCUCCGUGGCCCAAAGGGACGCCGGCGCUCGGCCGGCGCCUCAGCGGCAGGGCAGGGCAGGGCCCCGCGGGCUGACAGACGCCCGCCGCCGCUCCGACGACAGAGCAUGCGCAGCGCUCUUCGCCAACGGAGGCCGUGCCAUUAAGGCGGCUGCCCCCGCGCCGUGCCCGCUGCGCCUGCGUCACCUCCCUCCCCGCCGGCCGGGCGGCUGCACUGCGCCUGCGCGGCUCCGGCGGGGGCGGGGAGCCGGAGCCUGCGCGGUUGCCGGGGUGACGGGAACACAACAUGGCGCGCUGAGGGCCUGGCGGCCGGGAGGUGUUCGGCGGUCGGGAGGGCGCCCGGUCGCUCUCUCGCUCACCCCGAGACCUGCAGGCGAGCGCAGGAUGAACAAAUAUCAACCAGUUGGUAAGAUAGGAGAGGGAACAUUUUCUGAUGUUCUGAAGACACUGAGUCUUAGGGAUGGAAAGUACUAUGCAUGUAAACACAUGAAACAACAUUUUGAAAGUAUGGAACAAGUGAAUAAUCUGAGAGAAAUACAAGCACUAAGGAGGCUGAGUCCACAUCCUAAUAUCCUUGCAUUACAUGAAGUUGUUUUUGAUAAAAAAGCUGGGUCCCUUUCACUGAUAUGUGAACUUAUGGACAUGAAUAUUUAUGAGCUGAUAAAAGGAAGGAGAAAGCCAUUACCUGAAAAAAAAAUUAAGACCUACAUGUACCAGUUAUGCAAAUCUCUUGAUUACAUACAUAGAAAUGGGAUAUUUCACAGAGAUGUGAAACCAGAAAACAUAUUAAUAAAGAAUACCCUGAAGUUAGGAGAUUUUGGAUCUUGUAGGAGUAUCUAUUCUAAGCAGCCACAUACGGAAUAUAUCUCCACACGCUGGUAUCGAGCACCUGAAUGCUUACUUACAAAUGGCUACUAUAGUUACAAAAUUGAUAUGUGGAGUGCUGGCUGUGUUUUCUAUGAAAUCACAAGUUUUCAGCCUCUCUUCCCUGGAUCUAAUGAGCUGGACCAAAUUUCAAAAAUCCAUGACAUUAUAGGCACUCCUGCUAACAAAACUCUCAAGAAGUUCAAGCAGUCAAGAAUUGCGACCUUUGAUUUCCCUUUUAAAAGAGGAAAAGGAAUACCUCCUCUUGUGCACAAUUUGUCUCCCAAAGGCUUCUCUCUCCUGUAUGCAAUGAUAAAAUAUGAUCCUGAUGAGAGAAUUGCUGCCCAUCAAGCAUUACAGCACCCUUAUUUUCAAGAACUCUGGGCAGCUGAUACACAAGCUUUGGCCAUGCACAAAAAAUUAAGAUUACUAGGAAAUACAUCAGGGCAAGUACCUCUGCAUUUGUGGGAAAUAUCAAAGGAAGGUCAAAGACAGGUAAUGUUUAAGUGGAAGAAUUGUCAGCCCAUUUAG